GGGCUGCAUGCUAACCAAUCAGAUGUGUUUGAUACAUCGGAUUAUUAAAACAAUCAAAUGCGUAUACUGCCCAAGUGAGAAGUAGUCGUAUACAGUGGUUGGUCAGUGUUGGAAGUCAAAUUUUGUCCUCUCUAUACACAAUGUCAAUGUAACGAGAAGCUACUAUACAGUUGAGUGUACGGUGCCACUCAAGAAAGAAAUUGACGACGUGUUAAGAUUUAACUUACAAAAUACACAUGUAAAAAAUUGCAUCUCAUUUUAAUCGUAAUACUUUACAACAAUUCAGCAGGCUUAUAGUUACAGUCCACUUUCGUAGUAAUUACGACAAUUCAACAAUCAACAGGUUUACCUAGUACUUUGAAGAACUUGAAAUACAGUCACAAUUCGACCAAAUUGAGUAUUCGUAUUACAAUACUAUUUUAUAUAAAAAAUAUUCACAUAUUCACAUCGGUCUGUGGCUUCGGUUGCGCGGUUUGUUCUUCACAAAACACGUAUCUUCUACUUAACUGCAUGCAGAUACAACAAUUAAUUUCUUUUAAUAUUACGUAUACACUAGCUGCUCUAUAGUGCACAAAUUCUUAUGAAACAAUACUUAUUUCAAUUUCUAUUUCUCAACUCAAAUUACAUUAUUCUGACACUUUCGUGAACAUUUUACUCAAUAUUAUAAUAAUAAAUAAUCCACUGUAUCAAAUUCAAGGUUUUUUUUACUUGGGCGGCGUUUUUCAUUAUCUUAAACAACAAACUUAAUUCCUGCCAUUUAACUUUUAUAUUCAAUUUUUAAACUUCAUCUUUGUAAAGUUUUGCUCAACACUUUUUAUUGAUUAUUGUACUUUUUCAUUUUUUCAUUUUUUAGCGUCCCUUUGUAUUUUUCAAUUAUUUUAUACAUCGAUUGCUACACUUGUAUUUGUUUAACUUAUUAUUCUUCGCUCACUUUUCUUUUUAAUAAAUUCAAUUCAUUUAACUUUGUUAACCCAUUCGGUUCAUCUUUAAGACAAUUUGUCUUGAUUGGGAACGUCCCGUAUUUAUUUUAACACAUGCAUGCUCACAUGCAUAUCCGUUUAUUUUAACAUUUUGUAACCUUUACUUUAACUUAAGUUCGAGGUUGUUUUGUUGACGUUAUCAAUAAAUAUUACUCGUAAUUUAUCAACUUGUCAUCGACAUCGUAAUGCGAUUGUCACAUCUUCACUGAAAAACUUUCGAUUGGUACUUAUUUUUGGACAUCAAUUGCCAUUUGUAUUUGCCAAUCAUUAUAUCAAUAUUUAACAUCAUCAAUUGUCAUUUUUAUCUUCUGUUUAAAGUUUUGCACUUUUUCGUUUUUGCGUACUUUAAUACUAUAUAUACUUGUUACGUUUUGUACACUUAUCAUUUAUUUAUCUCGUGCAUUGUUUAGGUUUCUUCAUGUAUAAUUUUAAUUUCAAAACAUUUUAACUUACUGUACAUUGAAACCAUUGUUAGCGCAUAACAUUUUUAGUCAGUAAAAUGCGUUUUACUUCUCAACUCGACUAAUCUUCCGUCGUUUAAUUCGACCGUUUUAUUCUUCUUUUCUUAAUUAUUAUAGUUCCGUUUAAUUUUUAAUUCUUUCUGGCACCAUACCAAACACUAGCUAGAUCAGCUUCUAGCUUUAAUUUUGUUUUAAUUAAACAACAUCUUUCUUGAAAAAAUAAUUCAUGUUUAAGAAUGUGUGUCCGAUCCUCCCUUCUUAAUUUUUUUUUUUUUUUUUUAAUUUUUCUUUUUUCUUCAAAUCAAUUAUUCACUAAUCUAAUUCCUACUUACUUUUCUCACUAAUCUAAUUUGCUCUCUCUUCCCCUAUACUAUCCUCCUUUACUCAUUAAUCUAAUUUGGGUUAAAUGUUCGGUCACACGAGGCGGAAAAGUCGCAUGGACUAGUCACGGGAACUUGCUGCCUGAAAAAGGUCGCACGGUACGUCAUUUCCAGGCGACAACUAGUCGCGGACACUGGUUUCUGUCCCCGCGACGAGAUUUUCGUAUAUGUCGCACGAUGAAAUUUGUUUCCGCAACAAAUCCCCGCGACGUGACCCUGCAACUUGUCGCCUCAUGUGACUGAACCUUAAAGAUGGCUCCGUUCGGUUUCUACAAAAUACAUAGUAGUAUACUCUUGAAUUAAUUUUUUUAGUUAAAUAAUAUCAAUUAAUCAAAAUGCUUUGUUGAAUGUGCCUAAAUAAUAUUAGUUAAUUGAAAGUGCCUUAUAGAAUUUUCAGUAAAUAAUAUCAAGUAAUCACGAUAAGGAAUAAACAUUCAAUGAAAUUUCCAGCAAAACCCAAUGACAUAAUCUACACAUUAAGAGAAACC
Paramuricea clavata is the source of this 2309-nucleotide non-coding RNA. Lineage: Eukaryota; Metazoa; Cnidaria; Anthozoa; Malacalcyonacea; Plexauridae. The record is from the annotation of a GenBank genome assembly.